UCACGGUUGACGUGGCCCUCACGUGAGCUGGAGCCGACGCGUGCAGACGUCCUUCUAAUCUUAGUCUUCGUUUGGUCCGGUUGCACUCUCUCUAUCGCCCAGAGGGCGAGAGGGCCUGUGGCCUGGGGGAAGGAGGACGAGGUUACUGCCUGGAUCCCAGCAGUAGGGCGCUGUGCCAUUUGGGAACAAAGGAAUAGUCUGCCUGGAAUCCCUGCAGAUCUUGGGGCCGGAGGCCAGUCCAACCCUUGGAGCAGGAAGAUACGCAAAGUUGUCAAGAACCAAGUCAAGCUGCCUCAGAGCCGGCCAGCAGUAGCUGCAGACUCCGCCCGCGACGUGUUCGCGCUUCUCUGGGCCAGAGCGAGCCUGUUCUGUGCUCCGGUUAAG
RNAcentral lists this long non-coding RNA (384 nucleotides) under Theropithecus gelada (gelada). RNAcentral's name for it is "lncRNA (ENSTGEG00000012105.1)". Lineage: Eukaryota; Metazoa; Chordata; Mammalia; Primates; Cercopithecidae. The record is from RNAcentral.